GUGCUGGAUAUCCUCAAGCUGCCCCGUGUUACUAUUCCCAUCAGGACGGUCGGCACGCUCGGGACACAAUCCUCAUUCUCACUUUUAAACACAGCACAGCGUUAGGAUAAAGCCAGUGAUCGGUGUUUCUUUGCUGGUUGCCAUGGCAGCAGCAAGUGUGAGCGAAGUUACUGGCUGUGCUGUAAAUUGGUUUUCGCUCCCGGUUGCCGGCAGUCAGGGUGCAGGGACCCUUUCAGGUUCGCGUGGAGAGUAAUUGGAAUGAUGUCUCCGGGAGCACUGCGCUCUCCCGGAGCUCGAAUGGAUUUGAUUGGACGGUAGUGGUGUGAGACGACGGCCCUGGACGCACCUCAGAGGGGCUGCUAAUGGCGAGAACGAAGCGCAAAUCUACAGAGACAAAACAGUGGAUGGGUCACGGAGGGUCAGCACACCUACACGCACUGUUUGAUAAUGGCAGUUUGAGUGGAUGCAUAUGAGACGGCCAAGGAAGCAGCCAGAGACGAGCCCAUAUAAGGCAUCUUCCUGUUUCCUGGCUGAAUGCUAGGUCAAAUCACUCCAAACAAGCUGGAUUUCUGUGCUUUUUCUCAGGACCGGAAAGAAACAAAAUAAACCAUGCAAACUCCGCUGGGGAGUUUUCAAAGCCUGACCCACUUAUGCAGGAGAUGGUUGUAAAGACGUUGAGAUGCAUCUCUGCUUUGGGCAGAUCUGACUGUCCCAAAUUCUCAUUCUGCAACAGCAAUGAGCUGAGAGCAAAGCCAUCUGACAGAAUCAAACCGCAGAGAGAUCAUCCAACUUCAAGAGCUCAGGCUGCGGUAAGAGAUAAGUGAAAGAAUGACGAGAAUCUGAGAGUCUUUGCUAGUGGGUGGAGGGCGAACACAAAGUGCUCGGUGUCUCUGUCUCUCAGCCGGCACAUCGACCGAAUCGCAUUUAGAAUCGUUAAAAGUCAGACUCUUCUAAUAAAAAGGCAGUGAGAACAUGUUGAGAACAUAAACCAGUUGUUUCACUAUGAACUGGUUUAAGGUCAGUAAAUCUCUGGUUGGUUAGUGGCCAGCAGUUUCUGACUAACCUAUUUUGGGUCAAUAUCAGCAUGUGAUUUUGCUGGCUGUAGAACAGCACUUUAACUGCCUGCAGCUGGAUUUGAUGUGUCCCAAAAGCUCAACAUUUUGAUCAUUUGGAAUGGAGUAUAAUAUCCUCAGUGAUUGAAUGCUCUAGUGCAUUUUAGUCAUGGAGAACUAAGAAAGAGGAAUAGACAGACACUCAGAAAGAAUGGAAGACAGAGAGACUCUUGACUCUUAGAAGCCAGAGUAAUCACUGGACUAGUAAAACUCUGGACUGGGAAGAAGUUUAAACCUCUUUGCGUUAGUCUAUCAACUGCAGGAUUAGAGAUAGUUUGACCUGGUCAAAAGUGCACAAACUCCUCCCAAUCAUACACAAACUUUCCUCAGAAACCAAAUAGUAAUGUGUUUCCUGGAGGAAAAAAAAGUGAAUAAAUAAACACUUCCUGGUGAGUUGCAUGCUCCUUCAAUAGCAUGUAUCAUGCCAUUUCUCUUUUUCAAUGCUGUCUCAAUCAGGGUCCAAAAUUAGCACUGGCCAAGCACCAAAUGUGAGUAAAAAUUGUUUUUGGUGAGUAAAUAAGAAAACCAUUAUUUGCUCGUUGGCAGUACAUGAUUUAUAUGUAUAGUCAUAUCCUCACUGAUGUAAGUGAUGUGAGCGAACCUAUACGAACUGUUUUUAAAAAAUGUGCACGUCUUGUAUUUCAGUGAAAAACCUUGGAAAAAUCUAGGAGUCUUCAGAACGCAAUGUGGUGACACUUAUAUGGAGGAAUAGAGGAAUAUUAUAUAUAUAUAAGAUAUAUAUAUAUAUAUAUAUAAAUUUUUUUUUUUUUUUUUUUU
Long non-coding RNA from Onychostoma macrolepis, 1889 nucleotides. RefSeq lists it as uncharacterized. The transcript has 3 exons. The record is from RefSeq and is a predicted model, not a curated record. Lineage: Eukaryota; Metazoa; Chordata; Actinopteri; Cypriniformes; Cyprinidae.